This 371-nucleotide long non-coding RNA is filed under the name Rosa chinensis. Its description in RNAcentral is "sRNA RchiOBHm_Chr2g0106311". The record is from RNAcentral. Lineage: Eukaryota; Viridiplantae; Streptophyta; Magnoliopsida; Rosales; Rosaceae.
GGUUGGAGCUGCCUUGUUUUUGGAUGUAAGGGUGGAGAAGAAUCAGCUUGGUGUUGCCGUUCUUCAUCUUUGAGGGUUUCUGUUUCCGUUUGCCACAACACAACAAAGGUAAAAGAGAAAAAUAAAGAAGGAAAAAAAAUCAUUAGCUUUAGAUUUUGAAAUGCAGCAAAAGAAAAAUAAAGCAUAUCAACCUUCCUUUUUGACAAGGAUCACAAAAUUUAGAGCAUGACAUAUUGGAGAAGAAAGAAAUAUGCGGCAGAUGAAUGCCCCUUUCCAGAAAAAAGAUGCAUGAAAAGAAGGUGCCAUCAAAUCUGGAACCAAUAACUGAAGUACCACUCAUCACAGCUCUGAGGGCACUUUCAAUUGCUUAA